This 86-nucleotide small RNA is filed under the name Epilithonimonas lactis. Its description in RNAcentral is "Chryseobacterium halperniae Flavo-1 RNA". The record is from RNAcentral. Lineage: Bacteria; Pseudomonadati; Bacteroidota; Flavobacteriia; Flavobacteriales; Weeksellaceae.
AUUGCAGCCCGACCUGAGUGGAAAUCCUUUUUUUGCGAUGGAAAAAGCCAAGGCAAAAAGAUUGGGAACGGAGGGCGGAAAUAGCU